Molecule: ribosomal RNA, 440 nt
Filed under: uncultured bacterium
Lineage: Bacteria
Description: partial 16S ribosomal RNA
Rfam family: Bacterial small subunit ribosomal RNA
Source: RNAcentral
CCUACGGGUGGCAGCAGUGGGGAAUAUUGCACAAUGGGGGAAACCCUGAUGCAGCGACGCCGCGUGAGUGAUGAAGUAUUUCGGAAUGUAAAGCUCUAUCAGCAGGGAAGAAAAUGACGGUACCUGACUAAGAAGCCCCGGCCAACUACGUGCCAGCAGCCGCGGGAAUACGUAGGGGGAAAGCGUUAUGCGGAUUUACGGGGGGUAAAGGGAGCGUAGACGGCGGGGCAAGCAAGAUGUGAAAGCCCGGGGCUCAACCCCGGGACGGCAUUUGGAACUGUGCUGCUAGAGUGUCGGAGAGGCAGGCGGAAUUCCUGGUGUAGCGGUGAAAUGCGUAGAUAUUAGGAGGAACACCAGUGGCGAAGGCGGCCUGCUGGACGAUGACUGACGUUGAGGCUCGAAAGCGUGGGGAGCAAACAGGAUUAGAUACCCGGGUAGUC